This 79-nucleotide transfer RNA is filed under the name Streptomyces griseoflavus. RNAcentral describes it as "tRNA-Ser". Lineage: Bacteria; Bacillati; Actinomycetota; Actinomycetes; Kitasatosporales; Streptomycetaceae. The record is from RNAcentral.
CGCCGACUGGGUCGUGGGGACCUCGUCGUCGGAGCCGGUGCGCGGACACUGGCCGCAGCUCGGAUCCGCGAUCGGCUAC